This 253-nucleotide ribosomal RNA is filed under the name uncultured bacterium. RNAcentral's name for it is "partial 16S ribosomal RNA". It matches the Rfam family "Bacterial small subunit ribosomal RNA", at positions 524 to 776 of the family's 1533-position model. The record is from RNAcentral.
UACGGGGGGGGCAAGCGUUGUUCGGAAUUACUGGGCGUAAAGGGCUCGUAGGCGGCCAACUAAGUCAGACGUGAAAUCCCUCGGCUUAACCGGGGAACUGCGUCUGAUACUGGAUGGCUUGAGUGUGGGAGAGGGAUGCGGAAUUCCAGGUGUAGCGGUGAAAUGCGUAGAUAUCAGGAGGAACACCGAUGGCGAAGGCAGGUCUCUGGGCUGACACUGACGCUCAUGCACGAAAGCGUGGGGAGCAAACAGG